Molecule: unclassified non-coding RNA, 790 nt
Filed under: Hevea brasiliensis (rubber tree)
Lineage: Eukaryota; Viridiplantae; Streptophyta; Magnoliopsida; Malpighiales; Euphorbiaceae
Source: RNAcentral
GACGAGAAGUUCUCAUUCCUUGCAUCAGGAAAACAGAUAGUAAGCAGCAUCGAUGAUGAUAAUAAGGUUGUUGUGUUUGAACGUGGUGACCUGGUAUUUGUAUUCAACUUCCACCCAAAUAACACAUACGAAGGGUAUAAAGUUGGAUGUGACUUGCCAGGGAAGUACAGAGUUGCACUGGACAGUGAUGCUUGGGAAUUUGGUGGCCAUGGAAGAGUUGGUCAUGAUGUUGACCAUUUCACAUCACCAGAAGGAAUACCUGGAGUUCCAGAAACAAAUUUCAAUGGUCGUCCAAAUUCCUUCAAAUUGCUGUCUCCUGCGCACACAUGUGUGGCUUAUUACAGAGUUGACGAAUGCAUGUCAGAAACUGAAGUUUACCAGACAGACAUUUCUAAUGAGCUACUACCAACAGCCAAUAUCGAGGAGAGUGACGAGAAACUUAAAGAUUCAUUAUCUACAAAUAUCAGUAACAUCGGUCAGACUGUUGUAGCUUCUGUUGAGGAGAGAGACAAGGAACUUAAAGAUUCACCUAUCUGUAAGCAUCAUUAGUGAUGUUGUUCAAGCUGACUGAGGUGAUUCGGAUGCAAACGUCUGGAUCAGAUGUCUUCUACGUUGGUGAUCUUAGUCCGCGCAUGUUGCCUUCAGGGUGGUAGCAUUUCCUCUGCAAAUUAUUAGCAUCCAAUAAAUUUACUGGUUGUAAAUAGAAAAAAUGCAUUUGCAUGUAUGUGUUCCUCUGAAAUUUUCCCAGUUUUUGGUGCUUUGCCUUUGAAGCCAAGUCUCUAUAUGUAAU